This 73-nucleotide transfer RNA is filed under the name Erinaceus europaeus (western European hedgehog). It matches the Rfam family "tRNA". Rfam says of the family: Transfer RNA (tRNA) molecules are approximately 80 nucleotides in length. Their secondary structure includes four short double-helical elements and three loops (D, anti-codon, and T loops). Further hydrogen bonds mediate the characteristic L-shaped molecular structure. tRNAs have two regions of fundamental functional importance: the anti-codon, which is responsible for specific mRNA codon recognition, and the 3' end, to which the tRNAs corresponding amino acid is attached (by aminoacyl-tRNA synthetases). tRNAs cope with the degeneracy of the genetic code in two manners: having more than one tRNA (with a specific anti-codon) for a particular amino acid; and 'wobble' base-pairing, i.e. permitting non-standard base-pairing at the 3rd anti-codon position. Lineage: Eukaryota; Metazoa; Chordata; Mammalia; Eulipotyphla; Erinaceidae. The record is from Rfam by way of RNAcentral.
AGAGAGGUUGUUCAGAGGGUAGAACAUAUGCUUUGCAAGCAUGAAGCCCCAGGUCUGAUCACUGGUCUUUCAU